UACGUAGGGUGCAAGCGUUAUCCGGAAUUAUUGGGCGUAAAGAGCUCGUAGGCGGUUUGUCACGUCUGCUGUGAAAACUGGAGGCUCAACCUCCAGCCUGCAGUGGGUACGGGCAGACUAGAGUGCGGUAGGGGAGAUUGGAAUUCCUGGUGUAGCAGUGAAAUGCGUAGAUAUCAGGAGGAACACCGAUGGCGAAGGCAGGUCUCUGGGCUGACACUGACGCUCAUGCACGAAAGCGUGGGGAGCAAACAGG
RNAcentral lists this ribosomal RNA (253 nucleotides) under uncultured bacterium. RNAcentral describes it as "partial 16S ribosomal RNA". It matches the Rfam family "Bacterial small subunit ribosomal RNA", at positions 524 to 776 of the family's 1533-position model. The record is from RNAcentral.